GUGGGGAAUCUUCCGCAAUGGACGAAAGUCUGACGGAGCAACGCCGCGUGAGUGAUGAAGGUCUUCGGAUUGUAAAGCUCUGUUAAUCGGGACGAAAGAGCCUAGUGUGAAUAAUGCUAGGAAGUGACGGUACCGGAAUAGAAAGCCACGGCUAACUACGUGCCAGCAGCCGCGGUAAUACGUAGGUGGCAAGCGUUGUCCGGAAUUAUUGGGAGUAAAGCGCGCGCAGGCGGAUCUGCCAGUCUGUCUUAAAAGUUCGGGGCUUAACCCCGUGAUGGGAUGGAAACUACAGAUCUAGAGUAUCGGAGAGGAAAGUGGAAUUCCUAGUGUAGCGGUGAAAUGCGUAGAUAUUAGGAAGAACACCAGUGGCGAAGGCGACUUUCUGGACGAAAACUGACGCUGAGGCGCGAAAGCCAGGGGAGCGAACGGGAUUAGAUACCCCGGUAGUCC
RNAcentral lists this ribosomal RNA (450 nucleotides) under uncultured bacterium. RNAcentral's name for it is "partial 16S ribosomal RNA". It matches the Rfam family "Bacterial small subunit ribosomal RNA", at positions 354 to 796 of the family's 1533-position model. The record is from RNAcentral.